Long non-coding RNA from Rosa chinensis, 385 nucleotides. RefSeq lists it as uncharacterized. The transcript is spliced from 3 exons. Lineage: Eukaryota; Viridiplantae; Streptophyta; Magnoliopsida; Rosales; Rosaceae. The record is from RefSeq and is a predicted model, not a curated record.
UGAGCUUUAGACGAGGCUCAUGUUUAUUGAUACUGUUAUAUAGUAUGUUGUGGUUGUGCUUUUGUCAGGUUGGAGAGCUUAUCGGUGGAAGCCAGAGAGAAGAGAGGCUUGAAUAUUUUAGAAAACUGGUUGGAUGAAUUAAAGGCUGAAUAAGGAGGCAUACUGGUGGAAAGUGUACACAAAUAUAAAGGAAGAGGACAUGGCAUAUUGAAGUAAUGCUCGGGGAAGAGACGGAUAGUGGGCUCGAGAUUUGCUGUCUAUUUUGUACCUUUAUGCAGUCUGCAAAUCUAGAGGAGUUCGAAGAAGAAUUUAAGGGUAUUAACCAAGAAGAGCAGAUCUGCAGACUUCACAAAAUGCUCGCUCCUUAUCUUCUUUCAAGUAGAAA